CCCUGCCAAGUAUAUAUAUACAAGGCAGAUCACAUCACACAUAUAACAUGUAAUAAAAACUAUGAAAGUUUGCCAAACCAAACUCAUUCUGCCCAAACUAUGAUGCUCUUAGUCUCUUUGCUUCUUCGAUCUCAAGAUAUUGGGGUAAGAAUUGUGGUGAUGGAGAGAAGUGUGAGCUACAUGAUGAAAGGGCACAAAUUACCAAGGUAUUGGCGCGCCUCAAUUUGAAGACAUGGUUAACAUGAAAUUACUAACCAUGUCAUUUGAUUGAGCCGCGUCAAUAUCUCGCUCAUGAUC
RNAcentral lists this long non-coding RNA (297 nucleotides) under Medicago truncatula (barrel medic). Lineage: Eukaryota; Viridiplantae; Streptophyta; Magnoliopsida; Fabales; Fabaceae. The record is from RNAcentral.